Molecule: unclassified non-coding RNA, 211 nt
Filed under: plant metagenome
Description: partial contains small subunit ribosomal RNA, internal transcribed spacer 1, and 5.8S ribosomal RNA
Source: RNAcentral
UUUCCGUAGGUGAACCUGCGGAAGGAUCAUUCAUAAUAAAGUGUUUUAUGGCACUCUUUAAAAAUCCAUAUCCACCUUGUGUGCAAUGUUAGAUCUCGUCAAUCUUGGCGAGAUUUUUAUACAUCAACUCAUUCUUUAACUAAUUUGUCUGAAAAAUAUUAUGAAUACUUAAUUCAAAAUACAACUUUCAACAACGGAUCUCUUGGCUCUC